RNAcentral lists this ribosomal RNA (253 nucleotides) under uncultured bacterium. RNAcentral describes it as "partial 16S ribosomal RNA". It matches the Rfam family "Bacterial small subunit ribosomal RNA", at positions 524 to 776 of the family's 1533-position model. The record is from RNAcentral.
UACAGAGGUCUCAAGCGUUGUUCGGAUUCAUUGGGCGUAAAGGGUGCGUAGGCGGCGCCGUAAGUCGGAUGUGAAAUCUUCGGGCUCAACCCGGAAACUGCAUUCGAUACUGCGGUGCUUGAGGACUCGAGAGGAGAUCGGAAUUCACGGUGUAGCAGUGAAAUGCGUAGAUAUCGUGAGGAAGACCAGUGGCUAAGGCGGAUCUCUGGAGAGUUCCUGACGCUGAGGCACGAAGGCCAGGGGAGCAAACGGG